Molecule: ribosomal RNA, 488 nt
Filed under: uncultured bacterium
Lineage: Bacteria
Description: bacterial SSU rRNA
Rfam family: Bacterial small subunit ribosomal RNA
Source: RNAcentral
AUUGAACGCUGGCGGAAUGCUUUACACAUGCAAGUCGAACGGUAGAGGGGGCAACCCCUUGAGAGUGGCGAACGGGUGAGUAAUAUAUCGGAACGUGCCCAGUCGUGGGGGAUAACGUAGCGAAAGUUACGCUAAUACCGCAUACGACCUGAGGGUGAAAGCGGGGGAUCGCAAGACCUCGCGCUAUUGGAGCGGCCGAUAUCAGAUUAGCUAGUUGGUGGGGUAAAGGCCUACCAAGGCUACGAUCUGUAGUUGGUCUGAGAGGACGACCAGCCACACUGGGACUGAGACACGGCCCAGACUCCUACGGGAGGCAGCAGUGGGGAAUUUUGGACAAUGGGCGCAAGCCUGAUCCAGCAAUGCCGCGUGCAGGAAGAAGGCCUUCGGGUUGUAAACUGCUUUGUCAGGGAGAAAUCUUCUGGGCUAAUACCCCGGGAGGAUGACGGUACCUGAAGAAUAAGCACCGGCUAACUACGUGCCAGCAGCCG